Molecule: long non-coding RNA, 963 nt
Organism: Carassius auratus (goldfish)
Lineage: Eukaryota; Metazoa; Chordata; Actinopteri; Cypriniformes; Cyprinidae
Exons: 2
Source: RefSeq, a predicted model, not a curated record
AAAACGCAUCAGUGUCCAAUCUAUGUUUUUGUGCGGACGGAUUCAACCGGUUGCGGAAUGUUGUCACUUUUACACUUCGAUACAAAUCAGCAGAACAUGAUGACAGGCUGUAUGUUUAACCCUUACUGUGCCAGAGAGGUCCUGAUGGCGUGAUUAAAUGUUGCUUAUAAAAUAGCCUACUACUGAAAAGUUACAAAGUAAAAAUAUCAGUGUAUUAAUUAAUUUAUUUAUUGUCAACAGCUGGCCAGAAACUUGAUUCGUUUGCAGCUGUUCUUUAAAAAAGGUAGUGAGGACGUUUAAUAUAGUCUUUUUUUUUUUUUAGCUAUUUAGUUGCACGAUUUGUGAUAUUUACUGAAUUGGACAUAAAAUGGUUUAGAGAGCAUAUGUUGCAUUACGCAUUGCCGCUCACGUCAUAAUGUCAUUAAAUCUUACAAUGUGAUCUUUGUGAAAAAUAAUUUUAACGCGCAUUUUCAAAUUGAACAUUAAAUAUCAAUCAAGGAUAACAUGUUUAUCUAAUUCAUGACUGUCUUUUGACAAGUUAAAUUACACAUUCACACCAUAACAUUGCAUUAGAAGCUAAAUCCGCGCCGUGAACGGAGAAAGCAGAGACAAGUAGGCAGACACUUGUUGCCGAAGCCACGAGUGAACAGACACAGAGCUAAAGCGGGACUUAUUGAAACUGACAGUAAAAUAUGGGAUAUGCACGCCUUUACCAGACAGGCUGUCGCUCCGGUGAUAAGGUGGCACUGGGGGUCUGGAGGGAGACAGAGAGGAACGAGGGCUGACCUGAGCUCUGCCACUGUCCUCUACACCGUCUAGAUGACCACUUCACGUCACCUUUGAGACACUGUGGGAAGCAUUCCAGUUUAAGGGUGAUUGUGUGCGUGUGUGUUUGUUUUUAAAGGUGGAAGUGAUGAGAAGACGCCUGAAGAUGCUGGAGAGGAUGGAAAAGUGAAAAAAAAA